AAUUUCGUGGCGUUGAUUGUCUAAUCGUAACGGGAAAUUACGACUCCCGUUGACCGAGACCGAGAUAUUUAUCUUCAGUCAAAAAACUGUUAUUUUAUAAUAACUUAUAAUUUUCAAAUAUUAAUCCUGCGAAGAAAGGAACAAAAAGUAAUUUUCAAAUAAAUAUCUUAAAUUAUAUAUUAAUUAAAAAUAAUAUUACAUUAUCAAACAAGUGAGAGGUAAAAUAAAAAUACAAACG
RNAcentral lists this unclassified non-coding RNA (238 nucleotides) under Bombus terrestris (buff-tailed bumblebee). RNAcentral's name for it is "misc RNA ENSBTSG00005035012.1". The record is from RNAcentral. Lineage: Eukaryota; Metazoa; Arthropoda; Insecta; Hymenoptera; Apidae.